UCUAUUUCCGCCGUCGCGGGCUAAGGAAAGGGAGGUCUUGUCGCGUGCUUGUUCUUUUUGGCAUCCCGCGCGCUCUCUCGCCAUCUCUCGAAAUCGUCAAGCAUCCUGAAACUUCCCCAGCUGUCUGCCCUGUCUCCGCCGCUUCCCGGCGCCAGGGCGUCGGGGCCUCGAUGUUGAACGCCUCUCCUGCAGACAUGAAAGCUCUCUCCUGGAUGUUUCUUGCUGGUUCUGCAGCAGCCAGCGCCCUCUUCUCUCUGGAUUCCCUCCGGGGCAUUCAGUGUCCAGGGGGAGGAUGUCCCCGGGUUGCCCAGAUGCUGCUAGAGAAACACAGCGUACUCAACACCCUUUUGAACAGAGCCCUUAGUAACAGUUGGCACAAGAGAUCACACUGGUUUAGAUUAAGAUCUCCUGCCCCUUUCCUAGAGAUCUUGGUGGGUGCUGUUCAUGGACACCAGAGGGGCAGAGAAUUGAGAGUGAUGUCAUCCCAUGAAGCUUCACUGCCAGCUGCUCCCUACUGUAUGCUGAGAUCAUUCAGAAACCAGGGCCAUGGACAGGAAAGCCCAGCUCCAUCUGUCUGCCUGUACCUGCAGUCAUGGUCUCUUAAGUUGAACAGGCUGGCCUUGAGUUUGCCAUCCUCUUGCCUCAGCCUCCUGAGUCACUGGGGAUUACAGGCAUGUGCUGUGGUGGCUGGCUCUGGACUUUUCCUUGGUCUUCGUGUUUCUUCCUGUCCCCCCAUCCCCCAUUCAAUAAAAAUUUCCUUUUUUUUUUUAAUGUUGAUGGGCCUUAAUUAUUUUAUUCAUUUA
RNAcentral lists this long non-coding RNA (803 nucleotides) under Marmota marmota marmota (Alpine marmot). Its description in RNAcentral is "lncRNA (ENSMMMG00000015389.1)". Lineage: Eukaryota; Metazoa; Chordata; Mammalia; Rodentia; Sciuridae. The record is from RNAcentral.